UAACAUAUAAAAAUCACAAGAGUAGCAGUCAUGUGUCGAUCAGAAUUGUCACAUGGAUUUAGAUACUAAUCAAUAAAAUAUUAAUAUCUCUUUUAUUGUAACUGUUAACGAGACUUUCUAUUUUUGACAUUUAUUGGAGAAUUUUACAUUUGCAUAGUUACUUUUUAGGAAAAUAUUUAGAUAACCAGUUACUUAUAUGUAAAUUUUUUUUUUAUUAUUUUAUUUUUUAUUAUUUUAUUAUUUUAUUAUUAUUAUUUUUAUUUUUAUUUUUUUUAUCAGCGUUACUUAUAUGUAAAUGUUUUGACACUUACUUAGAAUGUAUUCUAUAAGAAAAACUUGUUACGAAUCAUCAUAUUAUUGAUGUAUUAUAUAAUAAAUGGCUAUCUAGAGAUAGUUAUUUUUUUAUAAAUAUUUUAAUACUUUGUUUUGUUUGGAUGAGUCUUGAUUCUUAUUAUUAAAUAUUUUCAGAAACUAUUAAGUGAUUUUAUUGUAAUGUUAUUUGUUGUGACAUUUAUUAAUGAUAUCCUUACUUAUUCAUGAAGUGAUGCAUUCACUGAAUCAUUAGUAAUACAAGUCAGGCUUGUCAGGAAUAAAUAUCCCUGGAAUUAAACCUGGUGCUGCUAUUAAAUAUAAUUAUCACUAAAUAAUUAUUUUAAUGAGUAUUUUUUGGCAUAAAAUUUAAAUUUAUGACAUUACUAAUUAUUUUCUUAGUAGAGAUUUUCAUGGAUUAUAAGUCUCAUGUUAAUUUUUUUUAGUCUUUUAAUAUAUCACUUAUCUAUUUAUUUGUUUACUGAUAAAACAAACUCUUCUACAUGUAUGUCUUUUUUGUUGGUUAAAAUAUAUUAAGGUCACAAAAUUAUUAAUAAAUUCUAACCAGAAAUAAAUAAAAAAGUGUGUAAAACACAUUAGAAUGUGUUAUUACUACUAGUUGUAUUGCUUCAAUAUUUUAUUGUCUCUUUUUAUGCCAAGAUGAUUUAGUCUCUUAAUCAAAGCAACUCAUUUUGUAUUGUAUGUGCACCUUUCUCAACAAAAGAUUCUUACUCCCUAAAAUUAAAAAUUAAAAAGUACAGAAGGAGAAAAACAAAACCAUUUGAAGAUUCUUUCUGAUUGAUUUUCAUCAUGCAUGAGACAAACAGAUGCCAAUAUAUUUUUGAAGGUGACAGAUGCCAAUAUUUGAAUGACUUUGGUU
RNAcentral lists this long non-coding RNA (1189 nucleotides) under Phaseolus vulgaris (common bean). Its description in RNAcentral is "long non-coding RNA (PVUL_LNC001332)". Lineage: Eukaryota; Viridiplantae; Streptophyta; Magnoliopsida; Fabales; Fabaceae. The record is from RNAcentral.